CGGGACGGGUGGAGUAACGCGUGGGUAACCGUGCCGUAUACAGGGGAGUAACACUUAGAAAUAGGUGCGUAACACCGCAUAAGCGCACGGGAUUGCAUGAUCUUGUGUGAAAAUCUCCGGAGGUAUACGAUGGGCCCGCGUCUGAUUAGCCAGUUGGCAGGGUAACGGCCUACCAAAGCGACGAUCAGUAGCCGGCCUGAGAGGGUGGACGGCCACAUUGGGACUGAGACACGGCCCAAACUCCUACGGGAGGCAGCAG
RNAcentral lists this ribosomal RNA (259 nucleotides) under uncultured bacterium. Its description in RNAcentral is "partial 16S ribosomal RNA". It matches the Rfam family "Bacterial small subunit ribosomal RNA", at positions 98 to 354 of the family's 1533-position model. The record is from RNAcentral.